GGAUAGGAGGGCAAUCUGACUGGAACAGCUCUCCUCACAUUAGUCACCAGAGUGGAUUUGGCUGAACUGACUGACAGAGGGUGACUCUUCCCUCCCUCACAGUCAAUAUAUACCUCUCCCAAAGCUCUUCACUUUGUGAGCAGAUAGGAGUGGGCCAUUCUUUCAUCAAGGCUAGAGCAGCCUAAAAUUUGCUGUUUCCCUUACCAAUCUGUACUCUAUUUGUACUACUCAGGUGCAUUCAAAGAGCAUUGGGAAUUU
This 258-nucleotide small RNA is filed under the name Notechis scutatus (mainland tiger snake). RNAcentral's name for it is "7SK RNA (ENSNSUG00000005378.1)". The stretch from base 1 to 181 matches the Rfam family "7SK RNA". From Rfam's summary of the family: 7SK was discovered as an abundant small nuclear RNA in the mid-70s but a possible function has only recently been suggested. The record is from RNAcentral. Lineage: Eukaryota; Metazoa; Chordata; Lepidosauria; Squamata; Elapidae.